UAAAGAAUGAGCUAAGAGUGGCUGAAGAGACGUGCGUGAAUACAGGAAUCUGUUUUCUCCACGGGUAAUGGAAGAAACUUGAUGAGAAGUAACUUCCCUCACGCAAGAGUAGACAACUCAAAUGGGGAUCUACAGAAACCAACCUUGUCGUUUGUGUGCUGCUAAGAUGGACCCAGGAGAUUCACACUCACUUCAGAGAAAAUGUGGGCCAAGAAGAACUUUCUAGGGAUCUAGAAGAAAAGAGGGGGUUCUGUUUGGAACCUGUGAGAAGGAAGGCCCACUGAGAACAUAUUUGUGAAAUCUGGCCCCAAGGAAUGUUGCUGCUAGGCCACUGGAAUCGGAUCCUGAUGAUAAGCACAGACAUCAUUUUCAUUCAUCACCCCACCUCCGAUCUCAACAUAGCACCCGGCAUUUAGUAAGUCCUACAUUAAGUAUGUGUUGGGUGAAUGAAGGAAUAUUGGUAUUUGAAGACAGAAGUACAACAUUCUGAUAAAAAAGCCAGAAGCUGGGAAAGAGAUGGGGCCUCAGUUGUGACCGGGCCUCCCACGCAGAGAUGCGGGCCUCGACCUGGGGACUGGUGAUCACUUUCUGGGCGGGAAGCUCCCCAGCUCUUAUCACAGAACCCCCAGCUGGCCUGUCCUUCCCCGUGGUCUCCCCAGCUGACCACGUCUUUGGAAGUUCUGCUUCUCUGUGACCUGAGUGCAUUCUGGCCACUGUGCUAUGGCCUCCAGGCCCACGAAGUGCGUGCAUGUACAUGUGCUUCCAUCUACGCAGGCGAAACAAAACUCUUAGAACAUGGACGUUUCUGGCAAAAAUGACUGCUUUUCCUUCAUUAGCUUUUUUCCUUUGUCCGUUAGUAAUAAAAGAAUGGGAAUAAUGUAAUGAGAGUGAGUGAGGUGCCGAUGGAUGUCUGUUAGCUGGGGCUCUUUACUGAGCUUGCUUGACAUGGUGGGGGAUGGGGAGUGGUGCUUUUAAAUAUUAAUGCAACUCUUCACGAAGGGUCCUUUAAGAUCAUAUAAAACAAGAAUUUGGCUCAGUCUUCAUAAGAAAUUUUUUAAACAUCCUCCGAACAGGAAUUCCUUCCAUUCAAUAGGCAUCUUCCCCUCACCCACGAUCGCCCAGGCAAAAUUUAUAAAAGGUGCAUUCAAGUUCCUUCCCAACUGUGCAUACUAACAGUCUUAGCCAUCUGAA
Molecule: long non-coding RNA, 1191 nt
Organism: Felis catus (domestic cat)
Lineage: Eukaryota; Metazoa; Chordata; Mammalia; Carnivora; Felidae
Exons: 4
Source: RefSeq, a predicted model, not a curated record